Molecule: non-coding RNA, 202 nt
Filed under: Frankia sp.
Lineage: Bacteria; Bacillati; Actinomycetota; Actinomycetes; Frankiales; Frankiaceae
Also listed under: 1 other name
Source: RNAcentral
UACCGUUCUCGUCGCCGUGGUGUUCGGGAAGACCGGUGUGAUGCCGGAGCGGCCCUCGCCACUGUGAUCGGGAUGUCGACAGCCACUCCCCGCCAGCCGGGGAAGCCACUGGGCAGCGGACCACACGGACCGCACGCCCGGGAAGGCGGCCGCCGGCGCACCACCCGUCAGCCAGGAGACCGGCCACGGCACCCGCGAUCCG